UACUCCCGCCGGCGACCGCGCACGGGUGAGUAACACGUAUGAAACCUGCCCGUAGCAGGGGGAUAAGCGGAAGAAAUUCCGUCUAAUACCGCGUAACAACCCGAGGAGGCAUCUCCUCGGGUUUAAAGGAAGCGAUUCCGGCUACGGAUGGUCAUGCGUCGCAUUAGCUAGUUGGCGGGGUAACGGCCCACCAAGGCGACGAUGCGUAGGGGUUCUGAGAGGAAGGUCCCCCCACACUGGUACUGAGACACGGACCAGACUCCUACGGGAGGCAGCAG
This 278-nucleotide ribosomal RNA is filed under the name uncultured bacterium. RNAcentral's name for it is "partial 16S ribosomal RNA". It matches the Rfam family "Bacterial small subunit ribosomal RNA", at positions 81 to 354 of the family's 1533-position model. The record is from RNAcentral.